Molecule: ribosomal RNA, 486 nt
Filed under: uncultured bacterium
Lineage: Bacteria
Description: partial 16S ribosomal RNA
Rfam family: Bacterial small subunit ribosomal RNA
Source: RNAcentral
GAUGAACGCUGGCGGCGUGCCUAAUACAUGCAAGUCGAACGCUGGAGAUCUAGCUUGCUAGAUCGAAGGAGUGGCGAACGGGUGAGUAAUACAUAAGCAACCUACCCACGAAGACUGGGAUAAUCUCUGGAAACGGGGACUAAUACCGGAUAGGUAAUCGGAAGGCAUCUUUUGGUUAUUAAAGGUUAAAAACACUGGUGGAUGGGCUUAUGGCGCAUUAGUUGGUUGGUGAGGUAACGGCCCACCAAGACGAUGAUGCGUAGCCGGCCUGAGAGGGUGAACGGCCACAUUGGGACUGAGACACGGCCCAGACUCCUACGGGAGGCAGCAGUAGGGAAUUUUCGGCGAUGGGGGCAACCCUGACCGAGCAACGCCGCGUGAGAGAAGACUGCCUUCGGGUUGUAAAGCUCUGUUGUAAGGGAAGAACGGUAGAUAGAGAAUAUCUAAGUGACGGUACCUUACCAGAAAGCCACGGCUAACUACGUG